RNAcentral lists this ribosomal RNA (775 nucleotides) under uncultured Neocallimastigales. RNAcentral's name for it is "partial large subunit ribosomal RNA". It matches the Rfam family "Eukaryotic large subunit ribosomal RNA", at positions 18 to 623 of the family's 3401-position model. The record is from RNAcentral. Lineage: Eukaryota; Fungi; Neocallimastigomycota; Neocallimastigomycetes; Neocallimastigales.
UCAGACGAUGCGUCAUGCAUAUCAAUAAGCGGAGGAAAAGAAACUAACAAGGAUUCCCUUAGUAACGGCGAGUGAAGCGGGAAGAGCUCAAAUUUGAAAUCUUGAAAGGUUACCUUUCACGAAUUGUAGUUUAAAGAAGUGUUUUCUGUUGAAGUUUUGGUAAAAGUUCUUUGGAAUAGGACAUCAUAGAGGGUGAGAAUCCCGUAUUUGACCAUUAUUUUCAGCUGUGUGAUACACUUUCAAAGAGUCGGAUUGUUUGGGAAUGCAGUCCAAAAUGGGUGGUAAAUUUCAUCUAAAGCUAAAUAUUGGCGAGAGACCGAUAGCGAACAAGUACCGUGAGGGAAAGAUGAAAAGAACUUUGAAAAGAGAGUUAAACAGUACGUGAAAUUGUCAAAAGGGAAGCGUUUGACACCAGUGUUGUUUUCUCGAAAAUCAAUUAAAAAGAGUUAGAUUUUGUUGUGUAUUGACCUUAACAGCUUGCAUUUCAAUUUUCUUGCUUUUUUUAAUGCACUUUUCGUUUAACAAGUCAACAUCAGUUUCUUUUGUUGUAAAAAGGUCAUUGGAAGGUGGCUUUCUUUUCGGAGAAAGUGUUUAUAGCCUUUGACUCCUGCAAUCGGAGAGACUGAGGUCUGCAGCGUAGAUCCUUCGGGGUUAGAUACAUUUGUGCUAAGUUAUAGCUAUUUUAUAGACAACUUGUUGACUAUAAUUAGUCUUGUAGCUUACUCGCUUAUGCUAUUUUACCUACGCUUAGGAUGUUGAGUCGUAGAGCACGCAG